Molecule: ribosomal RNA, 254 nt
Filed under: uncultured bacterium
Lineage: Bacteria
Description: partial 16S ribosomal RNA
Rfam family: Bacterial small subunit ribosomal RNA
Source: RNAcentral
UACGGAGGGUGCGAGCGUUGUCCGGAAUCACUGGGCGUAAAGGGCGCGUAGGUGGGCGCGGGAAGUCUUCGGUGAAAGCUCAGGGCUCAACCCUGAGUCGGCCGGCGAUACUCCCGUGCUCGAGCUCACUAGAGGCAGAUGGAAUUCCGGGCGUAGCGGUGGAAUGCGUAGAGAUCCGGAAGAACACCGGUGGCGAAGGCGAUCUGCUGGGGUGAUGCUGACACUGAUGCGCGACAGCGUGGGGAGCAAACAGG